This 3070-nucleotide ribosomal RNA is filed under the name Ignavibacteria bacterium. Its description in RNAcentral is "23S ribosomal RNA". It matches the Rfam family "Bacterial large subunit ribosomal RNA". The record is from RNAcentral. Lineage: Bacteria; Pseudomonadati; Ignavibacteriota; Ignavibacteria.
AAUUUUUGGUUAAGUUACUAAGAGCAUACGGCGGAUGCCUUGGCACAAGAAGUCGAUGAAGGACGCGGUUACCUGCGAUAAACCACGGCGAGGUGGAAACAACCUAAGAUCCGUGGGUCUCCGAAUGGGGAAACCCUCCUCGAGUAAUAUUGAGGAACUGCCAUUUGAAUAGAUAGAAUGGCUAGAGACAACCCAGCGAAGUGAAACAUCUCAGUAGCUGGUGGAAAAGAAAACAAAUGUGAUUUCCUUAGUAGUGGCGAGCGAAAAGGAAACAGCCUAAACUAUCCAACAUGUUAAAGCCUGCAAGCCUUGUGUUGGUAGUGUUGUGGGAAUUAGUUUGAUCUAAUUGCAGUAUGAUCGAAGAGUCAAAAAUUAAAGAGAUAAUCGAAUCACUUGGAAAGGUGAACCACAGAAAGUGAAAGUCUUGUAGGUGAAAUCUUUUUAACUCUUUGAACUAGUCUCCCAAGUACCACGGAGUAAGUGGAAGUCUGUGGGAAUCUGCCAGAACCAUCUGGUAAGGCUAAAUACUCUCUUGUGACCGAUAGUGAACCAGUACCGUGAGGGAAAGGUGAAAAGCACCCUUAAGAAGGGGGUGAAAUAGUACCUGAAACCGUAUGCUUACAAACGGUUGGAGUCCCGAUUUAUCGGGAUGACAGCGUGCCUUUUGGAUAAUGAGCCAACGAGUUACUCGUACGUUGCAAGGUUAAUCCCUUAAGGGGAGUAGCCGAAGCGAAAGCAAGUUCGAAAUGAGCGAUUUAAGUAACGUGCGGUAGACGCGAAACCGUGUGAUCUACCGUUGACCAGGAUGAAGCCCCGGUAAAACGGGGUGGAGGUCCGAACUGAUGUGGGUUGAAAACCGCUCGGAUGAGUUGACGGUAGGAGCGAAAGACCAAUCAAACUCGGUUAUAGCUCGUACUCCUCGAAAUAGCUUUAGGGCUAGCCUCGUAUAUAGUGUUAUGGAGGUAGAGCACUGAUUGGGCUAGGGCCGUCACAACGGUACCAAACCCAGACAAACUCCGAAUUCCAUUAACAUGUUUUGCGGGAGUCAGGCAGUGGGGGAUAAGCUUCAUUGCCAAGAGGGGAACAACCCAGACCGUCGGCUAAGGUCCCCAAAUUCCAGUUAACAGAGAAAGGAUGUUAAGUUGCUCAGACAACUAGGAUGUUGGCUUAGAAGCAGCCAUUCAUUUAAAGAGUGCGUAAUAGCUCACUAGUCUAGCGACUUGGCGUCGACAAUACUCGGGACUAAAACUGGAUACCGAAGCUGCGGAUUCUCCGUUUAUCGGAGAGUGGUAGAGGAGCAUUCUAUAUGGGAAUCUGGAACAGAUAUCCCGCCUUCGGCGGGAUGAAGGUGUGGUGCGAGCCAUGCUGAACCGUAUAGAAAAGCAAAUGUUGGCAUAAGUAACGAUAAAACAGAUGAAAAAUCUGUUCACCGAAAGUCUAAGGUUUCCUGAGCAACGUUAAUCGUCUCAGGGUUAGUCGGACCCUAAGCCGAGGCCGAAAGGCGUAGGUGAUGGGAAACAGGUCAAUAUUCCUGUACCUGGUAAGUUUUGUUUAACUUUAAGGGGUGACGCAGGAGUGAAAGGUCAGCCACCUGUUGGAUUAGGUGGUCUAAGUGUGUAGGCGGGGAAUGCAGGCAAAUCCGCAUUCUCUUAACGCUGAGGCACGAACGGGAGUCCGCAAGGACACAAACUGACACUAAACAUGCUGCCAAGAAAAACCUCGUAAAGGAGAAAUUUAUCAGACCGUACCGCAAACCGACACAGGUAGACGAGAUGAGUAUUCUAAGGUGCUCGAGUGAGCCGUGGUUAAGGAACUCGGCAAAUUAACCCCGUAACUUCGGAAUAAGGGGUGUCCUGAUUGGUAUAAGAUUUACGCGAAAGCUAAUCGGGAUCGCAGUGAAAUGGGCCAAGCGACUGUUUAACAAAAACACAGGUCUCUGCGAAGUCAAUCAAGACGAUGUAUAGGGACUGACACCUGCCCGGUGCUGGAAGGUUAAGGGAAGAGGUUAUGCCGACUUGUCGGCAGAAGCUUUGAACCGAAGCCCCAGUAAACGGCGGCCGUAACUAUAACGGUCCUAAGGUAGCGAAAUUCCUUGUCGGGUAAGUUCCGACCUGCACGAAUGGUGUAACGAUUUGGUCACUGUCUCAACCACGGGCUCGGUGAAAUUGUGGUACCGGUGAAGACGCCGGUUACCCGCAUAUGGACGGAAAGACCCCGUGCACCUUUACUGCACCCUAACAUUGGGUUUGAGUAAAGCAUGUGUAGGAUAGGUGGGAGACUUUGAAGUGGCGCCGCUAGGCGUCAUGGAGUCAACGGUGAAAUACCACCCUUGUUUUAUUUGAAUUCUAACCUCGGUCCUUGAAUCAGGAUCAGGAACAGUGUUAGGCGGGUAGUUUGACUGGGGCGGUCGCCUCCUAAAAUGUAACGGAGGCUCCCAAAGGUACCCUCAGCAUGGUCGGUAAUCAUGCGUCGAGUGUAAAGACAUAAGGGUGCUUAACUGCGAGACCUACAAGUCGAGCAGGUGCGAAAGCAGGGCUUAGUGAUCCGACGGUAGCGAGUGGAAGUGCCGUCGCUCAAAGGAUAAAAGGUACGCCGGGGAUAACAGGCUGAUCUUACCCAAGAGUUCAUAUCGACGGUAAGGUUUGGCACCUCGAUGUCGGCUCAUCGCAUCCUGGGGCUGAAGAAGGUCCCAAGGGUUUGGCUGUUCGCCAAUUAAAGCGGUACGUGAGCUGGGUUCAGAACGUCGUGAGACAGUUCGGUCCCUAUCCUAUGCGGGCGCAGGAUAUUUGAGAAGAGUCGCUCUUAGUACGAGAGGACCGGAGUGAACGAACCUCUAGUGCACCAGUUGUCGCGCCAGCGGCAUCGCUGGGUAGCUAUGUUCGGUUGUGAUAAGCGCUGAAAGCAUCUAAGCGCGAAACACACUUCAAGAUUAGAUAUCCCCUUCCCCGAUUUUUCGGGGAACUAAAGACUCCAAGGAGAUUACUUGGUCGAUAGGCUGCAGGUGUAAGUAUAGUAAUAUAUUUAGCCGAGCAGUACUAAUAAGUCGUGCGACUUAACCUAUAUUUUUAUU